GACGAACGCUGGCGGCGUGCUUAACACAUGCCAGUCGUACGGUAAGGCCCUUUCGGGGGUACACGAGUGGCGAACGGGUGAGUAACACGUGAGUAACCUGCCCACAACUUUGGGAUAACGCUAGGAAACUGGUGCUAAUACUGGAUAUGUGCUCCUGCUGCAUGGUGGGGGUUGGAAAGCUCCGGCGGUUGUGGAUGGACUCGCGGCCUAUCAGCUUGUUGGUGGGGUAGUGGCCUACCAAGGCGGCGACGGGUAGCCGGCCUGAGAGGGUGACCGGCCACAUUGGGACUGAGAUACGGCCCAGACGCCUACGGGAGGCAGCAGUGGGGAAUAUUGCACAAUGGGCGCAAGCCUGAUGCAGCAACGCCGCGUGCGGGAUGACGGCCUUCGGGUUGUAAACCGCUUUCAGCAGGGACGAAGCUUUUUGUGACGGUACCUGCAGAAGAAGCACCGGCUAACUACGUG
Molecule: ribosomal RNA, 465 nt
Filed under: uncultured bacterium
Lineage: Bacteria
Description: partial 16S ribosomal RNA
Rfam family: Bacterial small subunit ribosomal RNA
Source: RNAcentral